This 492-nucleotide ribosomal RNA is filed under the name uncultured bacterium. RNAcentral describes it as "partial 16S ribosomal RNA". It matches the Rfam family "Bacterial small subunit ribosomal RNA", at positions 29 to 507 of the family's 1533-position model. The record is from RNAcentral.
AGUGAACGCUGGCGGUAGGCCUAACACAUGCAAGUCGAACGGCAGCACAGUAAGAGCUUGCUCUUACGGGUGGCGAGUGGCGGACGGGUGAGGAAUACAUCGGAAUCUACUUUUUCGUGGGGGAUAACGUAGGGAAACUUCCGCUAAUACCGUAUACGACCUACGGGUGAAAGCAGGGGAUCUUCGGACCUUGCGCGAUUGAUUGAGCCGAUUUCGGAUUAGCUAGUUGGCGGGGUAAAGGCCCACCAAGCCGACGAUCCGUAGCUGGUCUGGGAGGAUGAUCAGCCACACUGGAACUGAGACACGGUCCAGACUCCUACGGGAGGCAGCAGUGGGGAAUAUUGGACAAUGGGCGCAAGCCUGAUCCAGCCAUACCGCGUGGGUGAAGAAGGCCUUCGGGUUGUAAAGCCCUUUUGUUGGGAAAGAAAAGCAGCAGGUUAAUACCCCGCUGUUCUGACGGUACCCAAAGAAUAAGCACCGGCUAACUUCGUG